AGCGAACGUUUGCGGCGGGCUUAACACAUGCAAGUCGAACGAGAAUCCCUUCGGGGAGGAAAGUGGCGCACGGGUGCGUAACACGUGGAUAACCAACCCAUUGGUUUGGGACAACACCGGGAAACUGGUGCUAAUACCAGAUGUGUCGCAGCUGUCUUCAGGCGGUUGCGAGAAAGGCCCGCAAGGGUCGCCAACGGACGGGUCCGCGUCCCAUCAGCUAGUUGGUGAGGUAAUGGCUCACCAAGGCAAAGACGGGUAGCUGGUCUGAGAGGAUGAUCAGCCACACUGGAACUGAGACACGGUCCAGACUCCUACGGGAGGCAGCAGUGGGGAAUAUUGCACAAUAGGAGGAAACGUACUGAUGCAGCAACGACCGCCGU
Molecule: ribosomal RNA, 380 nt
Filed under: uncultured bacterium
Lineage: Bacteria
Description: bacterial SSU rRNA
Rfam family: Bacterial small subunit ribosomal RNA
Source: RNAcentral